RNAcentral lists this ribosomal RNA (253 nucleotides) under uncultured bacterium. RNAcentral's name for it is "partial 16S ribosomal RNA". It matches the Rfam family "Bacterial small subunit ribosomal RNA", at positions 524 to 776 of the family's 1533-position model. The record is from RNAcentral.
UACGGAGGGGGCUAGCGUUGUUCGGAAUUACUGGGCGUAAAGCGCGCGUAGGCGGACCUGCAAGUCGGGGGUGAAAGCCCGAGGCUCAACCUCGGAACUGCCUUCGAUACUGCGGGUCUCGAGUCCGGGAGAGGUGAGUGGAAUUCCUAGUGUAGAGGUGAAAUUCGUAGAUAUUAGGAAGAACACCAGUGGCGAAGGCGGCUAUCUGGACCGUAACUGACGCUGAGGCGCGAAAGCGUGGGGAGCAAACAGG